RNAcentral lists this ribosomal RNA (378 nucleotides) under uncultured bacterium. RNAcentral's name for it is "bacterial SSU rRNA". It matches the Rfam family "Bacterial small subunit ribosomal RNA", at positions 521 to 896 of the family's 1533-position model. The record is from RNAcentral.
UAAGACGUAGGGCGCGAGCGUUGUCCGGAUUUAUUGGGCGUAAAGAGCUCGUAGGCGGCUUGUUGCGUCGACUGUGAAAACCCGCGGCUUAACUGCGGGCUUGCAGUUGAUACGGGCAGGCUAGAGUUCGGUAGGGGAGACUGGAAUUCCUGGUGUAGCGGUGAAAUGCGCAGAUAUCAGGAGGAACACCGGUGGCGAAGGCGGGUCUCUGGGCCGAUACUGACGCUGAGGAGCGAAAGCGUGGGGAGCGAACAGGAUUAGAUACCCUGGUAGUCCACGCUGUAAACGUUGGGCGCUAGGUGUGGGGGGCCUCUCCGGUUCUCUGUGCCGCAGCUAACGCAUUAAGCGCCCCGCCUGGGGAGUACGGCCGCAAGGCUA